GCCGAAAUAGCUCAGUUGGGAGACCGUUAGACUGAAGAUUUAAAGGUCCCUGGUUCGAUCCCGGGUUUCGGCA
Molecule: transfer RNA, 73 nt
Filed under: Cordylochernes scorpioides
Lineage: Eukaryota; Metazoa; Arthropoda; Arachnida; Pseudoscorpiones; Chernetidae
Description: tRNA-Phe
Rfam family: tRNA
About the family: Transfer RNA (tRNA) molecules are approximately 80 nucleotides in length. Their secondary structure includes four short double-helical elements and three loops (D, anti-codon, and T loops). Further hydrogen bonds mediate the characteristic L-shaped molecular structure. tRNAs have two regions of fundamental functional importance: the anti-codon, which is responsible for specific mRNA codon recognition, and the 3' end, to which the tRNAs corresponding amino acid is attached (by aminoacyl-tRNA synthetases). tRNAs cope with the degeneracy of the genetic code in two manners: having more than one tRNA (with a specific anti-codon) for a particular amino acid; and 'wobble' base-pairing, i.e. permitting non-standard base-pairing at the 3rd anti-codon position.
Source: RNAcentral